AACGAACGCUGGCGGCGUGGCUAAGACAUGCAAGUCGAACGGACUGGUCAAUUUAUUGAGCAGUUAGUGGCGAAAGGGUUAGUAAUGGAUAGGCAACGUACCCUGUGCUCCGGGAUAGCGUCAUUCGCCUUCGGGCGAAUUCCCGAAAGGGGCGGUAAUACCGGAUAAUAUCAUGUGUCGAUGGGCACAUGUUCAAAGAUUUAUCGGCGCAGGAGCGGCCUAUUUCCUAUCAGCUUGUUGGUGAGGUAACUGCUCACCAAGGCGAUGACGGGUAGCGGGACUGAGAGGUUGACCCGCAACAUCGGGACUGAGACACUGCCCGGACCUCCACGGAGGGCUGCAGUAACGAAUCUUGCGCAAUGGGCGAAAGCCUGACGCAGCGACGCCGCGUGCGGGAAGAAGUCCUUCGGGAUGUAAACCGCUGUCAGGGGUAAGAAAGUCCACUUCGGUGGAUUGAUCUAACCCAAAGGAAGUCACGGCUAACUUCGUGCCAGCAGCCGCGGUAAGACGAAGGUGGCAAGCGUUGUUCGGUGUCACUGGGCUUAAAGAGUGUGUAGGCGGAAAAGUAAGCGUCGCGUGAAAGCCCCCGGCUCAACCGGGGAACUGCUCGACGAACUGCUUUUCUUGAGGCAAGUAGGGGUGCACGGAACUCUUGGUAGAGCGGUGGAAUGCGUAGAUAUCAAGAGGAACGCCGGAGGAGAAAUCGGUGCACUGGGCUUGUUCUGACGCUGAGACACGAAAGCGUGGGGAGCGAACGGGAUUAGAUACCCCGGUAGUCCACGCCGUAAACGAUGUCUACUAGGUUGUGGUGGUUCUGACACCAGCACGGCCGAAGCAAAAGUGAUUAGUAGACCGCCUGGGGAGUACGGUCGCAAGGCUA
Molecule: ribosomal RNA, 880 nt
Filed under: uncultured Planctomycetota bacterium
Lineage: Bacteria; Pseudomonadati; Planctomycetota
Description: bacterial SSU rRNA
Rfam family: Bacterial small subunit ribosomal RNA
Source: RNAcentral